Molecule: ribosomal RNA, 503 nt
Filed under: uncultured soil bacterium
Lineage: Bacteria
Description: bacterial SSU rRNA
Rfam family: Bacterial small subunit ribosomal RNA
Source: RNAcentral
AGAUUGGACGCUGGCGGAAUGCUUUACACAUGCAAGUCGAGCGGCAGCGCGGGGGCAACCCUGGCGGCGAGCGGCGAACGGGUGAGUAAUACAUCGGAACAUGUCCAGUUGUGGGGGAUAGCCCGGCGAAAGCCGGAUUGAUACCGCAUGAGCUCGAGAGAGGAAAGCGGGGGACCGUAAGGCCUCGCGCGACUGGGUUGGCCGAUGUCCGAUUAGCUAGUUGGCGGGGUAAUGGCCCACCAAGGCGAUGAUCGGUAGCUGGUCUGAGAGGAUGAUCAGCCACACUGGGACUGAGACACGGCCCAGACUCCUACGGGAGGCAGCAGUGGGAAUUUGGACAAUGGGGGAAACCCUGAUCCAGCCAUUCCGCGUGAGUGAAGAAGGCCUUCGGGUGUAAAGCUCUUUGUCCGGAGCGAAGCGGUUACGGUGAAUAUCCGUGACUACUGACGGUACCGAAGAAUAAGCACCGGCUAACUACGUGACCAGCCAGCCGCGGUAAUCUA